AUUGAACGCUGGCGGCAGGCCUAACACAUGCAAGUCGAACGGUAGCACAGAGAGCUUGCUCUCGGGUGACGAGUGGCGGACGGGUGAGUAAUGUCUGGGAAACUGCCCGAUGGAGGGGGAUAACUACUGGAAACGGUAGCUAAUACCGCAUAAUGUCGCAAGACCAAAGAGGGGGACCUUCGGGCCUCUUGCCAUCGGAUGUGCCCAGAUGGGAUUAGCUUGUUGGUGAGGUAAUGGCUCACCAAGGCGACGAUCCCUAGCUGGUCUGAGAGGAUGACCAGCCACACUGGAGCUGAGACACGGUCCAGACUCCUACGGGAGGCAGCAGUGGGGAAUAUUGCACAAUGGGCGCAAGCCUGAUGCAGCCAUGCCGCGUGUGUGAAGAAGGCCUUCGGGUUGUAAAGCACUUUCAGCGGGGAGGAAGGCGAUACGGUUAAUAACCGUGUUGAUUGACGUUACCCGCAGAAGAAGCACCGGCUAACUCCGUG
RNAcentral lists this ribosomal RNA (488 nucleotides) under uncultured bacterium. RNAcentral describes it as "partial 16S ribosomal RNA". It matches the Rfam family "Bacterial small subunit ribosomal RNA", at positions 30 to 507 of the family's 1533-position model. The record is from RNAcentral.